UGGGGAAUAUUGCGCAAUGGGCGAAAGCCUGACGCAGCAACGCCGCGUGAGUGAUGAAGGCCUUCGGGUCGUAAAGCUCUGUCGGAGGGAACGAAUGCUCUUGAGGUUAACAGCCUCGGGAGGUGACGGUACCCUCAAAGGAAGCACCGGCUAACUCUGUGCCAGCAGCCGCGGUAAUACGUAGGGACCAAGCGUUGUUCGGAUUUACUGGGCGUAAAGGGCGCGUAGGCGGCAUGACAAGUCACUUGUGAAAUCUCUGGGCUUAACCCAGAACGGCCAAGUGAUACUGUCGCGCUAGAGUGCAGAAGGGGCAAUCGGAAUUCUUGGUGUAGCGGUGAAAUGCGUAGAUAUCAAGAGGAACACCUGAGGUGAAGACGGGUUGCUGGGCUGACACUGACGCUGAGGCGCGAAAGCCAGGGGAGCAAACGGGAUUAGAUACCCUCGUAGUCCCUGAGCGGGCUGGCAAGGCGCAU
RNAcentral lists this ribosomal RNA (473 nucleotides) under uncultured bacterium. RNAcentral's name for it is "bacterial SSU rRNA". It matches the Rfam family "Bacterial small subunit ribosomal RNA", at positions 355 to 825 of the family's 1533-position model. The record is from RNAcentral.